UUGAUUAAACCAUAAGAGGUCCAGCCUGCCCAGUGACAUUGUUCAACGGCCGCGGUAUCCUAACCGUGCGAAGGUAGCGUAAUCACUUGUCCUUUAAAUGAAGACUAGUAUGAAUGGCCCCACGAAAGCUAUACUGUCUCCUUUUUCUAAUCAGUUAAACUAAUCUCCCCGUGAAGAAGCGGGGAUAAACAUAUAAGACGAGAAGACCCUAUGGAGCUUCAAACAACUGAAACACUUGUAUAUCCUCCCCUCACCUACCAACAUUUAACCUCACAUUUUGUUUCUAGUUUUAGGUUGGGGUGACCACGGAGAAAAAACUAACCUCCACGACGAAAGAGACAUCUCUAAACAAAAAGCUACAUCUUUAUGUAUUAACACAUUAACCUUUAUUGACCCAAUAAAUUGAUCAACGAAC
This 415-nucleotide ribosomal RNA is filed under the name Anomaloglossus baeobatrachus group sp. ABGD cluster 2. Its description in RNAcentral is "partial large subunit ribosomal RNA". It matches the Rfam family "Bacterial large subunit ribosomal RNA", at positions 1834 to 2457 of the family's 2925-position model. The record is from RNAcentral. Lineage: Eukaryota; Metazoa; Chordata; Amphibia; Anura; Aromobatidae.